UACGAAGGGGGCUAGCGUUGCUCGGAAUCACUGGGCGUAAAGGGUGCGUAGGCGGGUCUUUAAGUCAGGGGUGAAAUCCUGGAGCUCAACUCCAGAACUGCCUUUGAUACUGAAGAUCUUGAGUUCGGGAGAGGUGAGUGGAACUGCGAGUGUAGAGGUGAAAUUCGUAGAUAUCAGGAGGAACACCGGUGGCGAAAGCGGCUUCCUGGCCCGACAUUGACGCUCAUGUACGAAAGCGUGGGGAGCAAACAGG
RNAcentral lists this ribosomal RNA (253 nucleotides) under uncultured bacterium. Its description in RNAcentral is "partial 16S ribosomal RNA". It matches the Rfam family "Bacterial small subunit ribosomal RNA", at positions 524 to 776 of the family's 1533-position model. The record is from RNAcentral.